Molecule: long non-coding RNA, 2308 nt
Organism: Bombyx mori (domestic silkworm)
Lineage: Eukaryota; Metazoa; Arthropoda; Insecta; Lepidoptera; Bombycidae
Exons: 2
Source: RefSeq, a predicted model, not a curated record
GCACACCCAUUGCCCUUUAAACCUUAACAAUAUUGAGAUAAGUUUUAUUAAAUUACACAAGCAUAUUAACAUUUAUAAAUUAUUUAAAAAACAUAGUUUUCUAAUAAAACAAACGUCUGAAGCGAAUUAAAAACUCGUAAACAAGCAACUAAGUAUACACAUAUACCGUCAUUGUGAUGUUUCUUGUUUAAUUUUUUAGGCGUACGAGCGUACGACCCACCUGAUGGUGAGUGGUUAGGUGAACUUCGGCAUUAGCUAGCGACGGAGCCAAGCCGCUACCGACCAAGUAUUGAGUAUUUUUCACAAGCCUCGUUUGAAGAAGGACAUGUCAUAGCGCUCGGGAAAUACCGUGGUGGGGAACUCAUUCCAAAGCCGGAUGGUAUGUGGCGAAAAAGAUAUUUGGCUCCAGGUGGCAUGGAUGAACUCUACUCCGGUCACGGGCGGUGCAAUAGUAAAAACGAGAUGGCGGGACCAUCAUCAGAACAUACAGAGGGAACUGAAGUCCCUCCGCAGACCCAGAGGUUCCAAACAAUUCGUGAGAAUGGGAUUAUCGACGAUCUGAACGUUUGUGAAAUGGUAAUAUUUUUUACUAAUUAUACAAAAGAUACCCACUUUUUUCGUUUCCGCGGAAUAUUUUGAUAUUCACUUCUCAUUUCGUUUCAUUAAGACUUGCUAUUAAAUUAUAUUAAACGAGACAGGAUCGAGUACAGCCGGAUAUACGUGUUAUUGUUAAAAUUCAUUGAUGAUGAAAUAAGUAAAUUACGUGAAUUGAAGCAUCGAUUAGUUAGAUACUCAAGAAUACGGAGCAUAAAGCUUAUGAUACGGAGUCGAAAUAGGUAGAAUUUUGGAAAACUAUUAUUCAUAUAUGCUAACAACACGAUGGUAGGGCAUAUCGAAAGCCCCCACGGGUAUCUAUCAUCGAUCACCAUUAUGCUUAGUUCUGCUAGCUAAUACAUUCGUUGAAAAAUUCAAAUGAGACUUUUAUUCCGUUGAUGAAAGUGGCUGACCUUGAAUUUAUGAUAUCAAUAUACUGAGAUAGGUUAUGAAUUCCUCUACCAACACACAACCAAAUGAAACUAACUGAAAACGUAUCCAAGUAAAGUUCUUUUCGAUUUAUAUCCAUUAAAUACUGCAACAUAUUUAAUCAACUAAGUAGCGGUCAUUCGUAGAAUGCUUCAUUCUCAAACGCCAUAAGUUUCAGUAACACCAAUUAGCAAUAAUGGAUUUCAUUAAGCGCCACACAAAAUGGAUUCUGUCCAUUACAAAUUACUUUGACCGCUAGUUACUUCAUUAUUUACGUUCCUUUCGCAGGAAACCUGUCCUAUACGACAGUAGUAAGUAGAAUAAUUACUAUGAAUAAAGUGAUGAGGUCACGAUUUUCGUGUUACGCUUUUCAUACCCUUGAAACCGGAAAUCAGCGUAAUAAUAACCAAUGUCAUUUAGAAAGUAUUUUUUUUAACGAAUCCCCUAAUGAUUUUGAAAUUUCGACACGGAUUUAUCGUUGUUGAGAUAUUACAACGCACGGAAAUAAAACACACAAAAAAUAACUUUUGCAAAUAUUUAAUCUUUUUCAUAAUUGUGGAUCUAUAUAUUUAUAUUGUACAAGUUUUAUUAUGAUACAAUCAAAUGUUUUUUAUUUUUUUAUUUUUUGUGACUGAUAUUUGACGUCACCUCCGGUGAAUAAACCAACAAUACCCAACUGAGGUUCCACUAAGAAAAAAAUGUGAUUUAAUUAACUGUACAAUCAUUAUAUUAUUAUUAAACGAUGUUUCUUUCUAUACAACAUACAAAAAAUUAUUUGUCUUCCGUUUACUUAUAUGAACGAGUGUACAACCUCAUUUUGCUAUGUGCAGUUUACAUUGAUAAACACUUAUGAAAAGAACUAAUAAUGUUUCGUAAAAUAUUAUUCGUAUGUAGUAAACGAUUGUGAUUAAAUUCUGUGCUUGUAUUCGCACUAUUUUAUUUACUUAUAUUAUUACAAUUUGACCUUAACAAAUAAACAAUAUCAUUCAUUCAACAGGUCAUUACCGAUUCGAAUGAGGCAAUAAUACACGGAGUUUGGUUUUUUAAUGUUGAAAUGUAAAAAAACACGCACUUGUAACUAAAAUACUAGACAUUCGUUGUUAUUGACAGCCUAAAUUGGGACACACGCUAGUUAAAUCAAUUAAUAUAUCAGCAGUACAUAUGCAUGACAUAGGAACUUCAGAAAAAAUUAACAUAUCAAAUACACAAUGCCAUCCUUCACUUAAUACAUCAAUAGAUAUUCGAUUAAGAAAAAUGACAAAAUUAAUUUUACAAAAAAAGGCAA